GUUUUAAUAAUUUAUAUAUAAAAUAUUGGUCUUGUAAACCGAAAAUAAGAAAAUUCUUUUAAAACU
This 66-nucleotide transfer RNA is filed under the name Onthophagus obscurior. RNAcentral describes it as "tRNA-Thr". It matches the Rfam family "tRNA". Rfam says of the family: Transfer RNA (tRNA) molecules are approximately 80 nucleotides in length. Their secondary structure includes four short double-helical elements and three loops (D, anti-codon, and T loops). The record is from RNAcentral. Lineage: Eukaryota; Metazoa; Arthropoda; Insecta; Coleoptera; Scarabaeidae.